GGGGUGAACUUAGAGAUUAUGGGAGAUCAUAGGUUGGGAUGAAUUCAGGGAUUAUGGGAAACUCGAGGGUUGCAGGUAAAGUUUGAGGUUGAGGACCGCUGGCAAAAGAUAGAGAGGAAGGAGGGUUCUACCAGUGAGAGACAGAGAGAGAGGGAGGAGUAUUCUAUUCAAUUGAGAGAGAGAGAGAGAGAGGAAAAGGAUGUUUUGGUUGGCGAGAUAAAGAGCAAGGGAGGAGUUAUUUACUAGUGAGAGAGGGAGAGGGAGUAGGGUUCUAACGAAAUACAAAGAGGGAGAGAGGAUGGUUGUUCUAGGUGGAGAGAGAAUGAGGGGGGAG
Molecule: long non-coding RNA, 334 nt
Filed under: Elaeis guineensis (African oil palm)
Lineage: Eukaryota; Viridiplantae; Streptophyta; Magnoliopsida; Arecales; Arecaceae
Description: long non-coding RNA (EGUI_LNC060357)
Source: RNAcentral